RNAcentral lists this transfer RNA (76 nucleotides) under Pseudomonadales bacterium. RNAcentral describes it as "tRNA-Phe". It matches the Rfam family "tRNA". From Rfam's summary of the family: Transfer RNA (tRNA) molecules are approximately 80 nucleotides in length. Their secondary structure includes four short double-helical elements and three loops (D, anti-codon, and T loops). The record is from RNAcentral. Lineage: Bacteria; Pseudomonadati; Pseudomonadota; Gammaproteobacteria; Pseudomonadales.
AGACAGUGAGCAAGUUUGGUAAUUGCAGGAGACUGAAAAUCUUCAGAAAUUGGUUCGAUUCCAAUACUGUCUACCA